RNAcentral lists this ribosomal RNA (1314 nucleotides) under uncultured Alphaproteobacteria bacterium. RNAcentral's name for it is "uncultured alpha proteobacterium 16S ribosomal RNA". It matches the Rfam family "Bacterial small subunit ribosomal RNA", at positions 33 to 1394 of the family's 1533-position model. The record is from RNAcentral. Lineage: Bacteria; Pseudomonadati; Pseudomonadota; Alphaproteobacteria.
ACGCUGGCGGCACGCCUAACACAUGCAAGUCGAACGAAGUAGCAAUACUUAGUGGCAGACGGGUGAGUAACAUGUAGGUAUCUGCCCUUUGGCCUGGAAUAACACGAGGAAACUUGUGCUAAUACCGGAUAAGUCUUUACGGAGAAAGCUUUAUGCACCAUUGGAUGAGCCUGCACUUGAUUAGUUUGUUGGUGGGGUAAUGGCCUACCAAGACUGUGAUCAAUAGCUGAUUUGAGAGGAUGAUCAGCCACAUUGGGACUGAGACACGGCCCAAACUCCUACGGGAGGCAGCAGUGGGGAAUCUUGCACAAUGGAGGAAACUCUGAUGCAGCGAUGCCGCGUGAGUGAAGAAGGCCUUUGGGUUGUAAAGCUCUUUCGUCGGGGAAGAAAAUGACUGUACCCGAAUAAGAAGGUCCGGCUAACUUCGUGCCAGCAGCCGCGGUAAUACGAAGGGACCUAGCGUAGUUCGGAAUUACUGGGCUUAAAGAGUUCGUAGGUGGUUGAAAAAGUUGGUGGUGAAAUCCCAGAGCUUAACUCUGGAACUGCCAUCAAAACUUUUCAGCUAGAGUAUGAUAGAGGAAAGCAGAAUUUCUAGUGUAGAGGUGAAAUUCGUAGAUAUUAGAAAGAAUACCAAUUGCGAAGGCAGCUUUCUGGAUCAUUACUGACACUGAGGAACGAAAGCAUGGGUAGCGAAGAGGAUUAGAUACCCUCGUAGUCCAUGCCGUAAACGAUGUGUGUUAGACGUUGGAAAUUUAUUUUCAGUGUCGCAGGGAAACCGAUAAACACACCGCCUGGGGAGUACGACCGCAAGGUUAAAACUCAAAUGAAUUGACGGGGACCCGCACAAGUAGUGGAGCAUGUGGUUUAAUUCGAAGAUACGCGCAGAACCUUACCAACACUUGACAUGUUCGUCGCGACUCUAAGAGAUUAGAGUUUUCGGUUCGGCCGGACGAAACACAGGUGCUGCAUGGCUGUCGUCAGCUCGUGUCGUGAGAUGUUGGGUUAAGUCCCGCAACGAGCGCAACCCUCACUUUUAGUUGCCAUCAUUAAGUUGGGCACUCUGAAAGAACUGCCAGUGAUAAGCUGGAGGAAGGUGGGGAUGACGUCAAGUCCUCAUGGCCCUUACGUGUUGGGCUACACACGUGCUACAAUGGUAUCUACAACAGGAAGCAAGACUGCGAAGUUAAGCAAAUCCCUAAAAGAUACCUCAGUUCGGAUUGCACUCUGCAACUCGAGUGCAUGAAGCUGGAAUUACUAGUAAUCGUGGAUCAGCGUGCCACGGUGAAUGCGUUCCCGGGUCUUGUACACACCGCC